Molecule: long non-coding RNA, 284 nt
Organism: Acipenser ruthenus (sterlet)
Lineage: Eukaryota; Metazoa; Chordata; Actinopteri; Acipenseriformes; Acipenseridae
Exons: 3
Source: RefSeq, a predicted model, not a curated record
GAGUGUGGGGAAAACGGCCCGGUUGUCCUGAAAGGAAAUAGCGUGCAAGCUCCAGUGUGUUGGGAAAACAACUAAAAAGAAAGAGAGCACAAGAAACAACCAAAUGGAACCAUAAGGUGACCAGGACAGAGGUGGAGUUGAAAGUAGGGGAGACUCUGAAACUGGCACCACAUCGAGAGAAACAAAAUCAGGUAUGCAGCCAUGACGCCUCCUUCACUUUCCUUCCAUUUAGGAAAGGCUGAACAAGUCCAAGGAAAGGGCAGAAGAUGAGGUGGCCAGCGGAC